RNAcentral lists this ribosomal RNA (974 nucleotides) under Limosilactobacillus fermentum. RNAcentral describes it as "bacterial SSU rRNA". It matches the Rfam family "Bacterial small subunit ribosomal RNA", at positions 95 to 1055 of the family's 1533-position model. The record is from RNAcentral. Lineage: Bacteria; Bacillati; Bacillota; Bacilli; Lactobacillales; Lactobacillaceae.
GUGGCGGACGGGUGAGUAACACGUAGGUACCUGCCCAGAAGCGGGGGACAACAUUUGGAAACAGAUGCUAAUACCGCAUAACAACGUUGUUCGCAUGAACAACGCUUAAAAGAUGGCUUCUCGCUAUCACUUCUGGAUGGACUGCGGUGCAUUAGCUUGUUGGUGGGGUAAUGGCCUACCAAGGCGAUGAUGCAUAGCCGAGUUGAGAGACUGAUCGGCCACAAUGGGACUGAGACACGGCCCAUACUCCUACGGGAGGCAGCAGUAGGGAAUCUUCCACAAUGGGCGCAAGCCUGAUGGAGCAACACCGCGUGAGUGAAGAAGGGUUUCGGCUCGUAAAGCUCUGUUGUUAAAGAAGAACACGUAUGAGAGUAACUGUUCAUACGUUGACGGUAUUUAACCAGAAAGUCACGGCUAACUACGUGCCAGCAGCCGCGGUAAUACGUAGGUGGCAAGCGUUAUCCGGAUUUAUUGGGCGUAAAGAGAGUGCAGGCGGUUUUCUAAGUCUGAUGUGAAAGCCUUCGGCUUAACCGGAGAAGUGCAUCGGAAACUGGAUAACUUGAGUGCAGAAGAGGGUAGUGGAACUCCAUGUGUAGCGGUGGAAUGCGUAGAUAUAUGGAAGAACACCAGUGGCGAAGGCGGCUACCUGGUCUGCAACUGACGCUGAGACUCGAAAGCAUGGGUAGCGAACAGGAUUAGAUACCCUGGUAGUCCAUGCCGUAAACGAUGAGUGCUAGGUGUUGGAGGGUUUCCGCCCUUCAGUGCCGGAGCUAACGCAUUAAGCACUCCGCCUGGGGAGUACGACCGCAAGGUUGAAACUCAAAGGAAUUGACGGGGGCCCGCACAAGCGGUGGAGCAUGUGGUUUAAUUCGAAGCUACGCGAAGAACCUUACCAGGUCUUGACAUCUUGCGCCAACCCUAGAGAUAGGGCGUUUCCUUCGGGAACGCAAUGACAGGUGGUGCAUGGUCGUCGU